GCCAGCCACAUGGAGAAUUUACCGGUAGGAUAGAGGAUCGGAUAAGCAAUUUAUCGGUACAGUUUUUUUAAUCAUUUAUUAUUGAUAUAGUUGGUGAGCUGUUAUGCUUCGCGUAGUUUAUACUGUGACUUUCAUGUACAAAAUACAACAGAUUGCUAGCACAUCUGUACUGGCGUAUAUAUAUAUAUAGUAUAGGCCUAAAGUUUUUUUGUAACUCUAUUCUUUUGUUUGUCCUCCUUAUUUUUGAAAUAUUUGAAGCAGAGUCUUUUUAUUUUUGAAGUAUUUGAAACAGAGUUAGCACUAUGCACAAGUUUGAGUUACACAAACAGAUGGGGUUGAUUUCACGGCUGGAAGCAUUGCCAAUUUACUCAGUGAAAACGUGAAUGAAAAUUAAACCAAGAGAUACAAAAAAGAUAAAAUGACAUAGAUUCGACCUCAAAUUAAUCUGAAAUGCUGGCCAGUGUGGUGAGGCAGACAAAGUAAAAAUGACCUUUUGCUUCGAAAGAUAUAUCAGGUUUGGAAAGGUAUAAGGAAGCUAGAUUUUUUUUCUUGAUAUUUUUCUAUAUAAUUUUUAUGUAGUCAUGAAGGACUCACACAACGUUUCAUUCUACAAUACAGAAUGUUUUUGCUAAGCAAAUUAUAUUACAUAGAGUUUACCAUGUAUGGAAUUUAUAAUAUAAUUAUAAAAUAGGUCUUGUAAAUUUAAGAAGGCAAUGUAGGAUUGUCACUUAAGAUACCCUUGGAUUUAAUCUUUGAGUAACUUAAUAAAUAGCUCGAUCGGAGUUUUAUUCAGACCAGACAAUCAUACCGUUUUUUAUGCAACAGGAGGGGUUGAUAAUAUAUUUAAAAAGCAAAAAAAAAUUGUCCACUCUAAAAACAUCAGGAGACAAAAAAAGGAAACAAAGGAAAUAAAGAAUUAUACAAGGUUUCUCUAGACAUUAUUCAGUUUGGGGGAAUUAUUUCUUCUUUGCUUGAUGUAUAACCUGGGUAAAAAUAAUCCUUCUUGAAAACUACUUUUCAACUUGCAAGACUGAGCUGAAUUCCACAAAAAAUGAGGUAAUUAUAUUUCUCGAUGGCCUAAUAGCCCAACUCAUGAGAAUACUCAUUUCCACGAAGGAACUCCUGAUUAUAAUACAAAGCUUUCCAGUCCAUCAAAAAGGGCUAAAACUACAUUUAAUACACAUUCGUACUUGAGGACCUUCGUAUUUUUCCUCUUGUACUCAAUAUAAUAUGUCUUUGAACAGAUGCCAGAAGAAAGCCUUAUGUGUUAUGCUGGCAUUUUGACUUCCAAAUCUAUUUAAAAGGAGGUGCACAAGAGCACGUCCAAUAAAUUGAGGCCACCAUCUAUCAAUACAUGUCUAGCUUACACAGUCGGUAGCCUCAGAUUAAAGUUGUGUUCCACGUAUGCAAGAGCUAAAUUGAGACCACCAUCUAUCAAUACAUGUCUAGCUUUUUCCUCUGACCUGCGGAGCAAAAAGGAGGUGCAUGCAGGAGCUCUUUCCUCCUCUCUCUGCUCUCAAGCGUACACUUUAUUCCCACAACUCGCGCUCUAGCAAUAGCUUCAGUCUUGUGUCAGACAAAACCACCGGUACUUCUGCAAGUCUCUCUGAGCACCACUCUACGUGACAUGGAACUUCCAAGUGGACGUGGAGGCUGGGGCACCGUGGUGCGUUGGGCCUACUCUAAAGAGAUUAGUCGGCCUUGGCUGAUGUGUAAGGUGAGAUUCCCAAGUGUAAUGCCAUCAAUCUGACUAUUGCAACAAGAUAACUUCCUGCAUCUUUCGUAGUGUCUAAAGUUGCCCGAAUGCUUUUGCUAACAGUGGGGAUGGAAGAAUCAAUAUAGGGAUUCUAUUCCUCUGGUUUUAUGAGGAGUUAUUUUCUUGUCCUUUGCAAACGAAAAAAAGCUCCGGAUAAGAUUGGCUUGGAACAACCAUACUCUUUGAUUUCGAAUUUGAUAAAUAACUAUUGAUAUCAUGUUGCAAAGACCGGUUGGUUUCCAUCUAUCAUGAUUGAUAUUCCCGGUAUCCCAAAUUACUAUUUAUUUUAACUUUUUAGGUAUAUGACUUUUGAUAUGGAUCUAGAUAUAUACUAUGUCUAAAUACAUAGUAAAAAUUUGUAUUCAGAAAACUAACCUGAAUAGUAUUUUGGAAUGGAGAGAGUAGUAUUUAAUUUUUUUUCGGAGAUUCUAUCUCCAAGUUUAAAAUUAAUCCUCAGCCACCAAGAUCUUUUUUUAAAAAAUAUUUCGGAUGGUUUGAGAGACCGAGCGGUGUGACAGUGUGAAAGCAGUCUGUUAGGAAAAAAAAAAUCCAUGACAGUCGUCCAGCAUGAGGGCGGGGGAAGGGGUCAAACCGUCAACUCGAUUGGGCCCCAUCCACGUGUGUCUGCUGUCGCAUGGUGCCACUGCCUGCAAGACAACGGGUGGACGUGGAGCAGCCAAAGUCAAACCGACAUUGGCUUCUCUCUUCGUUUCACACACGCC
Molecule: long non-coding RNA, 2478 nt
Filed under: Setaria viridis
Lineage: Eukaryota; Viridiplantae; Streptophyta; Magnoliopsida; Poales; Poaceae
Description: long non-coding RNA (SVIR_LNC003080)
Source: RNAcentral